CUCCAGUUUAGCGUGGCGCACGGGAGCUGACCGAGUGGGUGGCAGGGGUCCCCAAGUGGGCAGUGGGGGUCCAUGGGCCGGUUAAACGACCUCCAUGGGCCGCUUGAGGCCCAUGGGCUUUAGGUUGCCGACCCCUGGUAUAUGAUAAUCCUACAUUUUACGGCAGAGAUGGAGAACUUAUGGCUUUCCAAAUAUUGCUGGACACCUCCCAUCAUCCCUCUGAGAAGUUGGUAGCCAAGAAAUUCCCUGGUUACUUCAAGUCAAUAUGUAAAAUUCAUCUCCCUGCUUGUUGCAGCAUUUGGCCCAGGUGGUUAUCAUGUCACAGUGCUUCAGUGACACAAGCCAAAAUCAGCAAAGUCUAGACCAGGGAGUAGAAAACCUGAGACUCUCUGGAAGUUUUUAGCCUCUCCAUUUCUCAUAAGCUCCAGCUAACAUGACAGGAUGAUGGGUACUGUAGCUCAACAACAUCUGGAAUGUCGCAAGUUCCCCAGCCUUGAGUUUGACUAAGCAUUUCUAUGCAUCCUUGUGUCCAUCAGCUAGUUAUUCUACCUAGCUUCUUCCAAGAGAGUGAAGUGAGGCAUCCUCCAUUAGCUCAGGUAAGGCCAACUGCUAUUUUGCCCCUCCCCUCCCCAAACCACCUUCAUCAGCUGCCAUCAUACCUGGAUGAGGCAGAUGGAGAAAUGACACAGCAAGAAGCCUUCAGAGCAACUGCCAUUUGGCUCCUCCCCCUCGCAGAACUGUCUCCCACAACAAGCAUUCCAUUUGGCCGUUAUGGGACUUCAUGAUGCGUAAUCCUAUGAAAGCACUGACACCUGCAUAAGCUUAGUUUCCUUCUUCCUCUCAUCAAAUUCCCAUUUGUAUCCCGUCUUCCGAGACUGCAGGUCAUUAUUAUAAAACAUAAAACACCUUGAGUGCUUGGCAGAGUGGUGGCAUAUCAGUGUAGGAAAUAAAUACGCAUAUUUGGAAUUAGCUGAAACGCUCACGCCAGAUGAGUCAAAUUGGUGUUAGAGAUUUCACCACAACGAGCACAAUACAAUAUAGAUAUAAUGCUGACUUUCCUCUACCUCCUAUGUUAGUUUCUAAAUCAGGAGCCUUUGAGCAGGCUGACAGUUAAUAACAGCUUAGAGCCAAUUCCUGGGCUGCUGACCUGCUUUGGUCUGUUCUGUUUCCUUGCCAGCAGCUUGAGCAAAGAGAGUAGUUCAGUUGUUGGGCCUGGAGCUGAGAGGAUUCUCUGCUAAUCCUUUCCAGCCUGGUGGGUUCACACCUCAGAAUUAUAGCAGCAAUAUGUCAUCUCUCCAUGUCAGUAGACAUUCAGGUCUAAAUAGACCCCCUUGGGCACUUGGCAAACUCGUCCCUUCCACAAAGGGCAAGGAUUUGCAGAACUGGAUGAGCUGGAAGGAAGCUGCAGCAGCGCUGGGUGAUAAUAGCGCGGACUAGGUAGAUAUAACCCAUCGCCAUUUGCAUAUUUUGUCAGUGAACUGAAUAUAACCAUCUGUGAAAGAAGAUGGCUUCUAACAGGUGAAAUGAAACAACUGUCACGUUGAGGGAGGACUCAAGAUAAUGCCUUUGGAACACCAAGGCAAUAUGCUUGGACAGAACAUCUGUGCCGAAGCAUCUGGUACGCCUAGCUGUUUGCAUUGCAGGAGUUUUGUUUAAAUAUGAAAGUUAAGGGAGAGCAGGAGGGUGAUUUGCAGUGCCGAGCACACAGAUUGCUUGAUGGAUGGUGUGCAGAAUAUUUUCCUGACAGAUCAACUAAGGAAAGUUAUUCAGCUUAAAUUAUAUUUUAUCUUUGGUUUCAUGCACAGUGAUAGAGGAGAAUCUCAUUUGGUCUGCAUUUCUAAGUGAACUGACAUAAUUUGCAGCUCCUGGACUAAUCCAUGAAUUGGUACUAUCUCACUUUUCUGAAUUUUGCUGUAUAAUUUUAAGCUAAAAGGAGGAAAAAAAAAGAUGUAGUAUUGGUGAAAUGAAAUUUGGUACAAUGUACCAAAUUUCAUUAAGCAUGCAUGCUUUAGAAUAUAGUACAUCUAGAAAUGCUAACACUGAGAUAAAAUACAUAUUUAAAUGUGUCAAAAACAUAUUUAAAUAUGAGUUUUUUUUUGUUUUUUUUUUAAAAAAGUUCAUACAUUAAUGCACAAAUGGAAUGAAACAACCUGAGGAACAACUACAUCUGAAAUUGGCAUGGUCUGAAAACAGGCUGAUCCAUCCAUUCCUAACCAUAACUAGAAUGCAGUGAUAUUUGAAGAGAAUUUGGCAGCUCAUCUUUAGGUGAAAUCUCUGAAGAAUUUUUGAUGAAAGCCAAAUUUUCAAUUAGAACUCUCAGUGGGGUUUCAUGCAUCCCUUCUUGGCACCAGAGGAAAAUUCAUAGCAAGUUUAGACUCUUCUGCAUGUAAAACCGCCAAGCAGGUAAAAGACAAUAGGGCUUUCAAUAUGUUAGCGAAAAAAUUAUCCGGAAGCUUUCACACAUCCCUAGUUAUAGGGAUGGACUGAGGAAGUUUCUUGAAGUCACAGAACUAUUAUUGUUCACACAUCUCUUCUACAACAGAUUGAAAGGACAGAAAAUCCAGUUGAAAAAACGAAAUGAAAGGAAGGGAGACAUUAACUUCAUGUGCCCUUGUCACCUGUAGAGCCCUGUGUAAAAUCCUGGAGAGCUGCUGUCAAUCAAUGUAGACAAGGCUGAGGUAAAUAGAUCAAUGGUCAGGAUAAGGCAGCUUCCUGUUUUCUUAUGUUCCUUCUAAACCACCAACAUGAAGCAUUUUUAAGGGGUGGAAACAGAUUGGGAUAACAUUAGAAUGGUAUUUAUGUACCAGUGGGUACAAACAUUCCAGAGAUUGCUGGAUUCCUGUCUUUGGGAACAUACCCUCCUGCUGAAUCUGAUCAGGGAUCCUUCCAUAUUUGUAUUGUCUAUACAGACAAUCCCCGUUUUGCACGGGGGUUGUGUUCUGGAUCCCCCAUGUGCAUCGGCGGAAUGCACGUAAGCCCGCUCUGCCACACCUCCCCUUGCUGACCAAAAAAGAUUCCAUUGAGCACAUGGAUUGAUAAUAUGGACAGAUUAGCUACAUACAAGUGAAUUGCAUGUCAACGCAAAAUAAGAAUGGAUAAAUAGGAAGAAAUCUGGAACAAAUAUUUAAGCGAUAAGGCGGAUAGUGGUAGGAAGGAGGGGGAAGAGAGAGAGAGGUGGGAAAAUAUUGUUAAAAAGGUGUAGUCAUAGGUAUGUCAGUGAAUUCAAAUCUGAAUUGUCAAAUUGUGUUAUUAUUGUUAUUACGGUUUUUGUUGUAUGUGUCUUUUGCAGUUGUUAUUUGUAUCGAAAAAAUGAUUAAAUAAUUUUUUUUAAAACCCUCCCCUUGCUGACCCUUAACGCCCUUUUCCGAACCUUUUCAUCACAUCUUUACAAUGUUUUGGGCUACUUCCAGGCUUGGUGCUGGGCAUGCAUGGCGAUUGCGUGUCACUCAGAUGCGCCUCAAUCAGUUGUUGCCUGUACUGUCUGGCAGAAACUCUCCAGGGUUUCAGACAAGGGUCUUUUCUAGCUUUGCCUGGUGAUGCCAGGGACUUAGCCUUGUUUUAUACAAAGCCUGUGUUCUUCUACAGUGGUGCCCCGCAAGACGAAUGCCUCGCAAGACGGAAAACCCGCUAGACGAAAGGGUUUUCCGUUUUUGAGUUGCUUCGCAGGACGAAUUUCCCUAUGGGCUUGCUUCGCAAGACGAAAAUGUCUUGCGAGUCUAGAGAUUUUUUUCGCUUUCCCCCUUUAUCUAAUCUGCUAAGCCUUUAAUAGCCUUUAAUAGCCUUUUAGCAGCUAACUCCUAAGCCUUUAAGCCUUUAAUAGCCGCUAAACCGCUAAUAGCGCUAAUCCGUUAAGCCGCUAAUAGGGUUGCUUCGCAAGACGAAAAAACCGCUAGACGAAGACUCUCGCGGAACGGAUUAAUUUCGUCUUGCGAGGCACCACUGUACUGACCUACACCAAUUUUCCCUUUCAGAACAUUUCCACGGAGCAAUUCCAUUCAUAGGAAGAGCUACUGCACCUCUUUGUUUUCAAUUUAAACUAGUUCUACUCUGCAUAGCACUACAACAACUCCACGAGAUACAAAAAUUAUUACUUUAAAUUACAAUGUAUUCGGAAGGUGUUUUUUAAAUCUUUAUGUCAUCUCUGCUUGGGGGAGUCUGGCCGGGGAGUUCUAGAGAGAACAUGAGCUACUAACUCGGUGGAGCAUGGAGUGCAAAAGAGAUGAAUCCUUCUCUUCUUAAUAGUACAACAGGAGUGGGCUAUGAAGCACAUUAUUUACUUCAGUGGUCCCAUUACUGUAUGCCUCAUUACAUCUGAAGACUGAACUAGCAUUUUGAAUGUUCUGGCAACAGUGCGAACGCUCGCUUCCAUGCCUGUGCAUUAUUGCCGGUCAUCAUAAAUAACAGCUUUCCCAAUUUUCCAAUAUUGAUUCAUCCAUCUGUGUAUGAAAGGGAGAAAGGCAGCAAAAAUAACACAAACAGCAAAGAGAGCAUCUCCCCCUCAUAGCACAGUUCUUAUAAGGGGCUGUCCUUGGGACAUGUUCUGCCAAAGGUUUUGGCUUCCAAAUGUAGUAGUUCUUUUGGAUUCAGACAGCCAUUGGGAUAGCUCAGUCAGUUAGAGCAUGGUGCUGAUAAUGCUAAGGUUGCAUGUUCGAUCCCCUUGUGGGACAGCUGCAUAUUCCUGCAAGACAGGGGUUGGACUAGAUUGCUGCCGGGGUCCCUUCCAACUCUGCAGUUCUACAGGGUGGGCACCACUACCAAGAAGGCCCUCUGCCUGGUUCCCUGUAACCUCACUUCUCGCAGUGAGGGAACUGCCAGAAGGCCCUCUGGAGUGGUGGAAAGGGAUAUCCUGGUUUGUGAACCAUGUAAGAAGAAAGAAAGAAAGAAAAAAGCCUGUGUAUCAGAGGUAGGAUGAUCACAGAAACCAAUAAACCACUUAAUCCUCUGGAAACCACAACAGCAGACAUCUCCUUAAAAUUUUGAUGCAGGAAUAUAGUACUGCAUGGAGCUUGACUGUUUUAUACAUAUUAUACAUAUAUGGGGAGGGUUGGCAUAUAGUCAGGCUUUAACAUCAAAACAGCAAUACCACAUAAGUGGCCUGGACAUAAGAGGUCUUGAAUACAAAAGGAGACAAAGCUUGAACAAGUUGGAAAUGCUAUACUCCAUGUAGAAAUCCAUUUAUAAUGGAUUCCUGCCCCAUCCCGUUUAGAUAAACUUUUGAGGAGAUAGGGGAAACCCAAGCAAUAGAACUACAGAGACAGUACCUGAAGUCCUAACUCAUUUUAUCCUGCUGUACUAAAAAAUGUGAUAUGGUGAAACUAUUGGGUUGUAGCUUUCCUCUCUCUGUGUUAAGUCAAAUGCACAAUGAGAAGAAAGUGUUACAAGAGAACUGACUGCAAAGUUAUUUACUGAUCCUUAGAGCCCCAAAGAAAUUUCAAAUGCAUUCAAAAUUCAGCAAAGUUUCAGAAAUAAUCUGACACAUAGAAUUGCAAACAUUUUCACAUUUUCACAAUUCCUUUUUGAAACUCAACCUCAAGAGUUAUAUAUUUUUAAAUUUGAACUGUAGUGGUGUGAUGGAUCUACCAACUCUCCUUUAAAACAUUCAUUUCUAAUAAAAUACCUUUUAAUUAUAUCAGCAAUACAUCACUGAGAAUGUGUUGUGGGGAGCAUGACAGAAUUAAAUUUCAGCAAGAAAACUCAGGCUAGGAGAAUUUGAUUGAGAAUUUUUUGCCCCCAAAUUCCUUUUAGCUCUUGCACUGUUCUUGACUCAAGCCACAACAGACAAUCAAAACUAGCUGUCCACAUACAGAGAUAACUCCAUGCUCUUCCCUGAUUUAAUUUAAUUCCCUGGUGUAAUGUAAUACAAAAUACAGGUAACAGCAAAGCUCUGUUCUGUGUAUUUAUCUGGCACUAGACUGAAAAUACUGGAAAAAUAAGCCAACAUUUAUUAGGCUACACAACUGUAUUUUGUACAGGUGUUCAUAUUGCUCAUAAUAAAAUUGUCUUUUGACAUCUGUUUCUUCUCCUAUCCUUUCAUGUAGCCAUAUGACAGUGCAUAGGUUAUGCUAGGGCAACUGGUCUGCUCCUAAAGAUGUACAGGCAGAGUUUGCUUUCUGUUAAACACCAUUAGAUGAACACUGUCACUUUCCCCCUGCCUUAAGAGCUGACACCAGUGUGUGACCUAUUCCACAAUGUUCAAGUUGUUUUUAGAGAUUCAUGCUGAAAUUUCUGUGCCUCAGUGCUUAUGCGACUUGCCCCAAACAAAUGCAUCAGAACAGCAACAUGAUUCUGACAUGUCCAUGUGCUGUCUGUAUGGGGGAACCCAUCUCCCAAUCUUUUCUACACACCAGUGAAAUUGCUGUGGGAUAAGUAUUGCCAGUUAUUAAAACAAUUGCAACAAAAAACAUUGAAAUGCAAAUUCCCUCUGAGGAAGCGGAGCGCCUAGUAUCAGCCAGUAAAUAAACCACAAUGACUUUCAUUGUUAUGCUAGCUUAGUGCUCUCUGUGGGAAAAGUAAAGUCCACUAUAAUUCAAGGAAAUAGAGUAUUAAAAAUAACUAUUUGUAUAGAAAAUGGAUGCCCUGGGUGCACUUUCCCAAUAACAUAUUGUGCAAAACUUGGAUCCCGACAGAUCCAGUUUUUCAUCCCAAAUUGCACUGCUGAAACAUCCAUGCAUUUUGGCGUUCUUUGCAAAUGUUUACAGAAUCAAUACACAACUAGAUUAUAAUUUCUCUCCCUUCCUCCUUUUUUCCUGUAUAUCAGCAUGUAUCUUUAAAAUUGUGCCUUCAUAGUUAUUGGUUUUAGGUUCUUUGUUUGUUUUUUCUUUGCACUGAUAGAGAAAACACUGUAAUAAACAGUAGGUGAAAUGUGCAUAAGGCUGAGAAAAUAAACUUUAGUGUAAAAGUGUCAGUGUAAGAAACAGCCCAUGAUAUUCUGUCAGAUAUUUCAGAGUCACGGUUAAGUAGUGACUAGCACCUGAAAGCAAACCAGCUGUUUGAAAUGUAACAGUGUAAUUCUGUACCGUGUACUCUUAAACAGACAUGCAUCACCCAAGUCUGCCCAGAAGGAAAUUCCAUCAAGUACAAUGGGAUUUACUCCCAGGAAAGUGUGUAUAGGAUUGCUCCCUUACUCUCAAGCAAGCCCAAUUGAACCCAGUGGUAGUCACUUCCAAAUUAAAAAUAAAUAAAUCACCUAGUGGGUUAGGCUGCAAGGGCACAUUUUUGCAUUGCUAUGAUGUUGUUGCUACCAACCCCUUCACCCUGAUGGGGCUCUAGGGAAUAAAAGCAAUGCUUGUAAUCUGAUAACUACAGUUCCAACAGUGUGGUCCAAAAUAAUGGGAAAACGAAGUCCCGGUCACAUAUUCAGAAUGAUUUUCAAAACAAACUGAAAUGUGUAAAGCAAUCCUAUACACACUUUCCUGGGAGUAAAUCCCAUUGUACUUGAUGGAAUUUCUUUCUGGGCAGACUUGGGUGAUGUAUGUCACCCAUGACACAAUCAUUUUUGUCAUACCAACUUAAGAAUACAUUAUUCCAGACAUUUUCAACCUUUUUGAGUCCACAGCUCCCUUGACCAGCUACAUUCUUUCUGUGGCUCCCCUGUGGGGAAACGUACUCCAAACUUCAGAAGCCCAGUUAUGUCACCCCCUUGCCUGCAAAGCCGGCAGCCCCUCAUCCCUUUUCAAACAUCCUCCCUUGUGGAGUGUUCACUCAGCCUCCUCUCCUCUUUCCACGGUCGCCUCAGCUCCUGGCAACCAGCACCCCCUGGCCAGCCCCAGAGGCACCAUUCACCAGGGAAGCUUGUAGCCAGGAUUGCUGCAACAAACAGCCGUGCAAGCUUUUGAGAAGCAGAGGGGCAAGAUGGUAUCAGAGGAGGGAGGAAAGGAAAGUGGGACAGAGGCCAGUGUUGCCUGCAGUAACCCUGACCAUCAUUCAAAGCACCCCAGGGUGCCACGGUACACUGGUUGAAAACCACUACAUUAUUCAGUGAAUGUCCUUGAAGUAAGAAUUAUGGACAAGCACUUCCUCCAUGCCUGUUAUGAAUGGGAAAGGAAGGUCACUGUGUGGCCCAAGGAACCUUUAUGAAGCCAAGAACAGAGUCUUUGUCAGAUCCUUCUAACAUGCUAUUGCAGAGUUGCUCCAGCGUCUAAGUUUCCAAGACCUUUACCCUCCAUGUCCCUUGCUUCAGAGAUUGGGCCAUUAGUAAAGUCUUCAGCUGAAGAGAUUUUCCUCUUUGCUGAUGACCUGCUUGCUGUGAGGUUUUGUGGAGGUACAGAUGUUCAUUCUCAAAAAAAUGGGAAGUCCAUUUUUGACUUCUUGAAAAACUAUAGUCUAUUGAUAUCGUAAUUGUUUGGGUUACUUAGGAGACUUGGUGGUGCCAAUAGUCUACAGAAUUUCUGAGAGAUUUGAACCAGUGGGAGUACCAGGUUUUCUGCAGACCUUUUCCCCAUUGUUCAUUGCCACUGACCUUUGCCCUGUGAGAGAUACUUAGAAAAGAAGGGUAAAAAUCCAUAGUAUCUAUGUUAAUUUUGAUCAGUAGGUUGGACAGUUGUAACUUUAGCUCACCCUUCUGAAGUGAGUCAGAUAUUCAACUACUGUGAAUGACAGGAUUUGUUCUACAAAAUCCACAAUUAGGUGCCAUACAAUGUGAAUUAGUGCUGUGCCUAUCCUCCAGUUUCUUGAAAGUUUUCUUCCUCUGUAAAACGUAUUCCCCUUUUUUUUUCUCAUUCUCAUAGCACUUGAGAAUUUCUUUAGAAUUUCAGUCAGUUUGAGGUUUUGAGCAUAACUUAUUAUUGUGAGGUGACCAAGGGUGGUGUGUGUGUUUUUUUCUUCUGGUAAACCUGUCUCUAGCAUUCUGCAGCCUUCCCAGCUGCUCAUGCUCCUGAUCUGAAAAAGCCCUAUGGGAGGAAUUAACUCAUGAUGUCCUCCCCUGGGCUUGAUUGCAUGAGCAACUGGGAGGGCUACAAGAGUGGUGAUUUGUAGAAUGAAUGAAAGAACAUCCGCAAACACUUGUGGGCCACCUCAAAAGUCAAGUAAAAGUGCACCAAAAACAAUGUACAAUGGUACCUCGGGUUAAGAACUCAAUUUAUUCUGGAGGUCUGUUCUUAACCUGAAACUGUUCUUAACUUGAAGCACCACUUUAACUAAUGUGGUCUCCCGCUGCACCACUGCUGCAUGAUUUCUGUUCUCAUCCUGAAGCAAAGUUCUUAACCCAAGGUACUAUUUCUGGGUUAGCGGAGUCUGUAACCUGAAGCGUCUGUAACCUGAAGCGUCUGUAACCCGAGGUACCACUGUACCCCAACCAUGAAAUUCUCAAUGAAUUUCUCUCUUGUCUUUAAUAAUUUUCACUGGAGAAUGGUAAAAAAAUGCAGAAAUUUUCAGAACAGCACUAGGCUUAAUGUUCUUUCUCUGAUGUAAAAUUGGACUACUUAUGAACAACUAAUAUGAUACAUAGUUGGCAAAUGUUACAUAUUUUAAUGUUAGAUGUGUUUCAUUUUUCUAAAAAAAAUCUUAAUUGCAAUUAAUGUAAAACCAUAAGUACAAUAAAAACAAUGCAAGUUGCAAAACAGAUGUUUUAUGAGGUAUGUACUCAGGUAUGUUCUUUCUAUUUCAAGUGCUCAUGUAUGUUCUUCCUCUGAAAACAUGACAAGCCUCUUAUAAUCAAGCAUCCACCCGAAGCAGCUUAACACACCUGAUGCCACAGCCACACUCCUACUUUUUGCCUUCUCUUUGUCACUCUAAGCUCCUAGCCAUCUCCUAGUCAGAGCACCUGUCCCUUGCAACAAUACCCCUGUAGCCAAUGCUGUUCAUGUAUGAGUUUGUUUAUGUUGGUUCAAGGAAAAAUAUAGAUAUAAAAGAAUUCCUAGAUGCAAAGAUCCAAGUUUGGGGCAAGUACUCUUUGGUGAGAGAACCCCAGCAGAGAUUUAAAAUAACCAAAUAUGCAGCAAGUAAAGCAUUAAAAUAUAGGCUGUUAGACCCUUAAAAUAUGCCCUUGUUAGUUUCUUCCAAAGUUCUCCUCUUCCCCCAGCAUAGAAAAAAACACACAGUUUGGCACGCAAAAAAAGGUUUACUUACAAGCUAUCCAAAGGCUGAAUUCAAGUGAUUUUCCUACAGCAUUCAGAAAAAGUUGCACAGGCAGUAAACUAAGUUUAGUUCCAAAGUGCUGAAAGUUCCUAAAUUAGGAAAUCAAGAGUGGCUUGUAAGAGCCAUGUAUUCUGAACUGCAGCAAUCAGCUCAGAGCUCCUCAAAUGCUGAGCUUCUCUGGUAGACUGGGGGUUGAACAAUAGGCUUGAUUAACCAUUUCCUCCCAUGGUAAGGAGAAGUGAUCUCACUAAGCCUGGCAGGACUGCUUAUUCUAUGGUAUUAACCCCUUCAUGCAUCAAUUAGACUUAAGCAUGUUGGUUAUAUGAAGUUAUCCCACAGUUAAUGUGUAUGCUUGUGUGCUAAGGUUGUGUGUGUGUGUGUGUGUGUGUGUGAGAGAGAGAGAGAGAGAGAGCGCACUCCUUGAGUUUAAGAACUGUAUUCAAUAAACAAGAUAUUCUUAUCUUCUCUCCAAUAUAAGAAUCCUGUUAAGUUUCGGUUGUAUGUCCAACACAAAUCACCAACUAAAAGGGAAUUAAUACUGUAGGACUGGAAUAGCAUUAAAGCAAAACAGAUGAAUAAUUUCAUAUACAAUUAGUAGGGGCUCAUUUUUUAUGUUUUCACUGGAGAGGGACAUCAAUAAAAGAAAUUCAAAGAGACUUGGAUCACAGUUGCUUGGUCAUCUGGAGAGAAUAGUCAUUAAGUGGCUUGCUUGACAGGCAGCACUGGUUUCGGUAAUCUCUUUGAUACCCGUUGUUAAAAAAAAAAUAGAGAGCAGGCCCUGUUUUUUUGUAAGGUUGUCCUCUAGCCAGAGGCAGUCAUUUAGAUGUUUAUCCCCAGCUUCAUAAAAGUCAAGGACAAACAUUCUGACUGCAUGCUCUGCCUUCACCCAGAGAUGCUUUCUUGCAUUGAACCAGAACUGCCCAUUAUGCCUAAACCAGAAACUCUGGUUUAAAGUUAGUUAACAAACUAAGAUAAAACAGCUGGAUCUGAUAUAUGAAAGAACUUUCAAAUUAUUCCAGCUUUAUGCCUGUUAUUUCAACUGGUUUGUGGACCUACCUCUAUCAUGAAGAGAAAGCAGCUCUUCAAAGGUUUUACUUCCUUGCUGAAUACAGGUUAGGGUAUACCAUUAGAUUCUCCCACCAUAAGGUUUGAGAUUAUUGUUAAUGCUGUUGUUGACAGUGUAUGACAGCCCUGGACCUGUAUUCUUAUUAUGCAUCUCCUGAGCAGUAUAUAAAUAUUGUUAAUAAAUAAUAUAAUAAAUAUUUAAUUUUUACUUAAAAUAUGUAUAUACUACUCUUCAGCACAGCCUUAAUACCAUAGCAAAAUUAAUGUGUUCUCUCUCUCUCUCUCUCUCUCUCUCUCUGUGUGUGUGUGUGUGUGUAAAAUGUCGCUAUUGAUCAUUAUCAUCAUUAAUUGCUAUCUUUCCCCACAAGCUCAAUGGGCCUGCUGAGUGUUUAGGGUUGUCAGAAAAACAAGGAGCUGAAGCAGAUUUUUUAAAGUAUAUAUAGUUUAGGGCAGGGGUCAGGUCAGCAAACCUUUUCAUCAGGGGGCUGAUGAAUACCCUGCAAGCCGGUCUUGCAGCUGCCUCUGGACCUGGAGGAGGAAUGCACUCUGCACGCACUCAGGAGCACGUCUUGGCGCCACCCACUCACCGGCAUUGUUGAUGAGCAGCAGCUGCUCCAUGGGCCCGUCCCCGCAGAUCUCCCAGAUGGCAUGCACCAUGUGCUGCGGCCCGCCGGCUGAGGCCAGGUCAGCGGGCAGAAUGCGCACACGAAGCACCAGGCAGGCAGCACGCAGGAGCUUCCUGCAGCCAAUCCGAAGCCACGCCAGCUUCGCCCCCCGCCCAGAAGCUGUGCCAGCAUCGUGGAAGUCAGUCCCUGUGCAGCGAGGCAUCCGCAGCACGCAGGGACUGACCAAGCGGGUGGCAGGGUCCGCUUUUACUAGCAUGGGGGCCACAUCCAGCCCCCGGGCCUUAGUUUGCUGACCCCUGGUUUAGGGUAAAUAGGUACUUGUUUUCCCCUGAGCUCUCCCUCCAAAAACAGCUAGUGUCCACGCUCACUCACUCUCUGGGCUCUGCUACCCCACCCAAAUCCAAUAUUUCAAAAGCUGGCUAUUCUAACAGUUUGGGAGAUACCAAACUGAGCACAGUACAUCAGUAAGGUAGGGCAAGGUUGAUAAAUCUUCCCCCCUUCACUGCCGCUUUCCUCACUUUUGUUAUUUGCCUGAGAUUAGGAACACAGGGAACUACCUUAUAUCAAAUCAUUAGUCCAUCUGAUCCAGUGCUGUCUACACUGUGGCCCUCUCAGAUGUUGCCAAACUACAACUUCCAUUGUUCCCUGAUUAAUGGCCAGGCAGGCUGGGGAAGAUGGGAGUUGUAGCUUAGCAAAAUCUGAGAGGGCUACAGGUUAGGUACAACUGGUCUACAGAAACUGGAAGUAGCCCCUGGGUUUCAGAGAGAAGCCAUUUUCAGUCCUACCCAUAGGUGCCAAACAUUGAACCAGAAACAUUUGCAUACAAAGUACAGUGGUACCUCGGGUUACAUACGCUUCAGGUUACAUACUCCGCUAACCCAAAAAUAUUACCUCGGGUUAAGAACUUUGCUUCAGGAUGAGAACAGAAAUCGUGCAGCGGUGGUGCAGCGGCAGCAGGAGGCCCCAUUAGCUAAAGUGGUGCUUCAGGUUAAGAACAGUUUCAGGUUAAGAACAGACCUCCAGAACGAAUUAAGUACUUAACCCGAGGUACCACUGUAUAUGCUCUUGUACUGAACUGUGGCCCUUUGAGGCAAAACCAGAGGAGUACAGACAAACACCCAGAAGGUGUAGUAGUAGCCAUAUACACAUGCAAGCCUAAUGCACUUGCAGCACAAGCCUGAUAGCAUGGUCUGGAUUAACAGCAGCAGCAACAACAAGAAUUUUAUUAUUUGCACUCCACCCAUUUGACUGGGUUGCCCCUGCCAUUAGACAGCCCUAAUCCUAUUUAAGCACAUAUUCAUUGGUAUAACAAGCUGUAAGGCUGGGGAAUAUUUAUAUCAAUAUUUCAAUGUCAUUGACAAAAAGCCUUCUGCUUUCCCACAUAUCCUGCUAAAUGUAUGCACAUAAAGUAUGUAUGUCUUGUAAAAAUGCUCCGUGUUGGAAUUGUAAAAGUAGGUAAUUGCUUCUCUUUUGUCUCCAAUGGCAGCAAUUUUAUACUGGGUCAAGAGACUUAGAAAUCCUAUCAGUUCCCAACAAAGCAUCAUUCACCUAAGGGGUUUCUCUCCAUCUGUAAAAUCCUAAGGCAAUUCAAGAAGAGGUGGUGCUUCUCCAGAAAGAUUUUAACUAGCUAAAAACAAAUUAAGAUGAAUUCAGCAAUGACUCAAAUGAUUACGCAACAACUUUCACAUGCAAAUAUACAUAAUUUAAAAUAUUUAGAGAGGAUUAUAAUAAGCAGCUUAAUAACUGUCUAUGCCUAAGCUGGACCUUUUCAUUCACUCCAGAAUCUUAUCACAAAUGACUCUGGAAAGAAUUCUUUAGGAAUUUGUGAGCAAAUGCCAGUAACUCUUUAUUAAACUCUCCCCAAAUCACUGGCAAAGCAGUCCUUUAUAUUUAUCAAUAGGAUGCUAAAACAUUUUACAAUAACAUUUCUAAAGCAUUUAAGAGAACAAAAUUAUUUCCAUUUAUCACUGAACUAACCCUGGGGUGCCCAAUGUGGCACUUCUGGGCACCACAGCAGCUUCCGAAUCCAUUUGGGGCACACUAAAGGCCUGCCACCCCUCCCAAUUUGUGUUUUUGAGGGUGUGCUGCCUGCUUUAUUGUCUGUCUUUUACUGGUGGGUGGCUGUGUAUGUAUCUAGGUGUUUUGCCUGUUUUAGGGGUGUGUGUAGCAUAUGUAGGUGCUUUUCCUGGUUUUUGGGAGAGGGAGGGGAGCUUCACCCAUUUGUCUUGUGUGAAAUUGCUAUUUUGUGAUUCCCACAACAGUUUAUUCCACUUCCAAAUGCACCCCUUGUCCCCAAAGGGCUAGGGACCAUUGAUAUAACCCAUGGUUUGGGUGGGUGGGAACAAGCUGCAGCAAGCUUGGGUGAGUGCACCCCCCGAUCCUCUUCUCCAUCUGCAUGCAUGAGAGGAGAAGACCGAAAGCUUUCCCUGUUGAAUAAACCAUAGUUUCCCAUUUUCUACUGCAGGAAUGGGGAGCCUGUGGCUGUCCAGAAAUUGUUGGACUCCAACUCCCAUAACCCCUUGUCAAUACGGCCAAUGGUCAGGGAUGAUUAGCAAAUGACUCCGACGCCAUGGGUCUCCUGUUGUCUUUAUAAUUUAUGGCCUGAUCCCAUGAAAAGGGCACCAGGAAACAGAGGUCCAGGAUGAAGAUCAGAUUUGGAUGUAGGACUCUCAGUUGUGUAGAUCUGGAAAAUGUUGGGCUUCUCCAUAGGUUGCUCUCACCCCAGCUCUACCCCAAAGUGAUACAUAAUUUGACUCUGCAGCUGAAAUAAGAUUACAUAAAUACCUAAUAAUCUCUCAGAUCAUUCGCACACCAACAAAAACUUUAAUGUGGUUUUGGGUUCCUGCAGUGAAUAUUUGCAAGCAGCAAUACUGUUUAAUAAGAUUUUGAGCUGAAGCACAGAUCUCUGAUGUUUAUCUACCCUCAAGAGCAGAUUAGGGUUUAAAUCAAGAGGAAAAUAAACUAACAUCACACCAUCAUUGGUACUUAGGUUUGUUUUUGCAGCCCCUGCCAUAUUUGCUCCUCUGAUACCAAUGCUCAUGAGGUAGGAGCUUAGUUGCCAAUGAGAUCGAGAAAUGCUCUGAAUAGUCAAAGGUUGUAAUACAUUUAAUGUGCAGUGAAUUGGUGGGUUUUAUGCAUGUUUAAUGAUAUUUGAAAAACAUCGCUGUAGGACAAGAAGAAUGCCACAUCACUGUCUCAAUACCAUAGUACUCAAGCUAAUUUUCUGAGCAAUAAAUAUUGUGAUACCAAGAUGUUAAUAUUACCAUGAUGUGUUCUACAAGGCUUUAUGGUCACCAGUAAAGUGUUGGAAAGCUUCCUUUGAGUCCCCGUCCCCCCAUUCCAUUCAUGGAUGGAUGGAUGUAUUAAAUUUCUAUACUGCCCUUCAUCCAAGAAUCACACAGCAGUUUACACAAACACAAAAAUACGUACUACAGUAAUGCCGAGUCCUAUUGAAAGACAUUGAAAUAAAGUUAGUUGCAACUAACUUCGCACACUGAUUUCAGUGUGUAUCUGCCUCUGGGUUAGGGCCACAGUUCUCACAGAUUCUCCUUGAGAAGUGUUCAGUAAUUUGGAAUCCAACAUUUCCCUACAAGUUAUUAAAAUAUUGCCGAAGGGAUUAACAUUCACAUUUAGCAUAAUAGGGAACAAUUAUUAUUAUUAUUAUUCUAACACACCACCUUUCUAUACUAUUUAAAUGACCUUAUUUUGUCAGCGCAAAAAAGGGAGGAAAAGCUCAUCCUUUGAUUUAAGAAAGCAAUUUAACAAAAAUGCAGGCUAUUUUCUUUUCCAGGUUUCUGAGCAGCUGACAGUGGAGUAAUACAGUUUAUGUUUUAAAGUCCAAUGGUAAUUGAAAACGACCGCUUUGUUGCUCUUGUCACUGGAGCAAGCAGCAUGGGAAGUCAGAGACCAUUUGGAGCUUCACUUCAAUGCUCUUGAUAACAAAUUGUUAGAGACUCCCAAUAGUCUCCUUGCUGAACUUUCCUCCAAGUCCCUCUAGGCAGAGAGUGAGUAUCUCAGCUUUUGGCAGGUCCAAGUUAUACUAUAUUGACAUUUGAGAAUGAUGGUAUCAGUUACGCUCAUGGAAUGAGAACAAAAUGCUCUUCUGGGAUUGUCUAUGUGACUCUGAUUAUCUGGCAAAUACUUAGUUUAGUUCCAAUAGAAAGACCAUGGAGCAGAGGCUUGAUAUUACUUCCCAUUCAAAGUAGCAGUGUUUGGGUUCCCCAUCCCACCCACAAUAACGACAAGCACAUAGAAGCUUUGAUUUGAGAAGCACUGCAACAUUUUAUGUUAUUUAUUUAUACUUAAAUUUCUUAUACUACUAAAUCGAGAAAGAGAAAAAUCUCCUCAAAUUAGAUAAGGGUGGCAGAUUGAGAUGGAAAAGCUAGGAGUGAGAUUUGCACUGGGGAUUCUCCUGAUAUUUCUGCAAUCCAAGUCCUCCCCCUCACCCCCGAUUAGGGUUUGAAAUCAUGCACUGAUUGGUUAGCUAUUAUUGUUAUGGUUCCUAAUUCCGCAUACUCACUUCUGAGUUCUCUGCAUUGCCAUGGACUGAAUACUUUGGCUCAGAUUUUUGCAGCAAUGUCAGGAGGUGAGGACAAAAGCACCCCCAAAAUUUGGAUUAAUCUUCUGGGGUGGAUGAAGCUGAAAAAUACUGGUCUCUCACUGUGUGUGUGUGUGUGUGUGUGUGUGUGUGUAAACUUUGCCACCACUUCAAUGCUGGCAAGCCCCUGAAGAUCAUCCCAAUCUUCAGGGACUGUUUUUCACCCACCCCCUUAAAACUAACGAAAAAGCCUAGCCCAAAUAGUUCACACGCCAGAAGCUGCUGGGUGGGGAUCAGGUAAUUUAAUAUACACAUGGAUUUCUGAUGCAUUGAAUUUUCUUAUAGCUAAAACUUCCCUUUAGAAUGGCAUGCUAAUGAAAACCCUGCUGAAAGGCAGGCUGCCCUUUAUCUGGGGAGUUGUAAGCCUAGUUGAUUGCAUGCUGUGUGACUUGGGUAAUAAAAUGUGUCCUGCUUGAUACAAGAAGACAAAUAUCCUUGUCAUCCGUCAACAAUAUUCAUUUGCAGCUGCCGUCUGAUGGCUAAUAAUUAGAGCUAUUAAUUGUCUGGAAAUAUAGGAAGAGCACCAAGUACUCAGCAAUUUCAGACAUGGUAUUAACACAUGAUUUAAAAAGGGGGUGGGAAGGACACAGGGCAAAAUGGCCUCAAGAUGCCAUUAAUGAGCUCAGAGACCUCAAAUGCAUUUAGGUUACCAGUUUAAACACACCCUUGCUGAUUGCUGAACUGCCUGAUGCAUGCUUUUUAAAACUAAAGGACGGAACAAGGCUCUCAAAUUCUUACGUAGACAUAUCAUGGCAUGGUGGUGAUUAUACUACAAGAUAAAAGCAACAGUACUUACACAUAGAUGCUUUCCUCAAAAAUAGGGUAAAUAGUUUCUAUUCAGUCUCUGUCUAGGAGGGGCUGUUACUGGUAGAGCAGCUUCAUGUGGAGAAGGAUGUUUUGUUCCACCAAGGCGACUUAAGCCUCCAGUAACCAGUUUCAUAUCAAAGUCCCAUACUACCCACAACUAUUAACCUGAACCUUCAGAGUGAUUGUGGCCACACUGGAGAAAGGCUGAACACUACCUCCCAUGGCUAGAUGAACCAUGCAGCAAUAGCACCUCUGGCUUGUCCAGAUAGAGUCUUCACCCAAACUAUUACACAGCUUAGGUCCAAACUAUUUGAAAGACUGCAAUCCCUCAUACAAACCUGUCCGGCUUUUGAGAUCUUUGGAGGAGGCCCUUCUCUUGGUCCCAGUGGGAAAUCCAAUGCCGUUGGACCAGGAUCAGUGUAACAUAUUCAAACUGUCUUGACCUAGUGAGCAACCUGGCUGCUGAAUUCUGCACUAGCAGAAGUUUCUGAACUAUCUUCAGAGGUGGCCCCACAUAUAACAUGUUGCUCUACUGCUUCUAGCAUAAAAAAUCGUGUGUAAACAUUUGGUAAAUGACAAGCUGUAUCAUAUAGUUCUGUGUUCUUUGCUGAACUCAGGAACUGUGUUAUUGAAGAAUGACUGUAACAAUGCUCAGGUCUUGGAAUUCAGAAUAACUGGAUAUAUUGUACAGAUCUUUUACACACACAUGACUGUCAGAUGUAAAGUUAUUUUUACCACUCUCCCUCUCUCCCAUUCAGCAUGCCCAGCCAUGCCAAGAUGAUGGAAAUGUUUGCUUCUGUCUACCUCUAACGCUACCAUUCUGUUUAACCCUGCAUUUGAACUCUGAAAGCCUGCC
Non-coding RNA from Podarcis lilfordi (Lilford's wall lizard), 18025 nucleotides. The record is from the annotation of a GenBank genome assembly. NCBI's taxonomy places the organism in Eukaryota, Metazoa, Chordata, Lepidosauria, Squamata, Lacertidae.